AUCACCCUGCGGUGUUCGUGAGUUUGGCCGCUUGUUUUGAGCCAACACCUUAACAUUGGGAGCCCGGACUUCAGUUGUGGCUUGUAGGCCUACAGAGAUGGGACACAAAAAGCAAUUGGGAGGGCACCCACCUGCCGAGCGCAGGUUCAAAACGACGGCAUCACGGCAUGGUGGGGUUAGA
This 181-nucleotide non-coding RNA is filed under the name Clostridia bacterium. RNAcentral describes it as "6S RNA". It matches the Rfam family "6S / SsrS RNA". Rfam says of the family: E. coli 6S RNA was the first non coding RNA to be sequenced, but its function was unknown until recently. It consists of 184 nucleotides that fold into an extended hairpin structure with a large single-stranded internal bulge. The record is from RNAcentral. Lineage: Bacteria; Bacillati; Bacillota; Clostridia.